This 449-nucleotide ribosomal RNA is filed under the name uncultured bacterium. RNAcentral's name for it is "partial 16S ribosomal RNA". It matches the Rfam family "Bacterial small subunit ribosomal RNA", at positions 28 to 523 of the family's 1533-position model. The record is from RNAcentral.
GAUGAACGCUGGCGGCGUGUCUAAGGCAUGCAAGUCGAACGAGAUCUUCGGGUCUAGUGGCGCACGGGUGCGUAACGCGUGGGAAUCUGCCCUUUGGUUCGGAAUAACAGUUGGAAACGACUGCUAAUACCGGAUGAUGACGAAAGUCCAAAGAUUUAUCGCCAGAGGAUGAGCCCGCGUAGGAUUAGCUAGUUGGUGUGGUAAAGGCGCACCAAGGCGACGAUCCUUAGCUGGUCUGAGAGGAUGAUCAGCCACACUGGGACUGAGACACGGCCCAGACUCCUACGGGAGGCAGCAGUGGGGAAUAUUGGACAAUGGGCGAAAGCCUGAUCCAGCAAUGCCGCGUGAGUGAUGAAGGCCUUAGGGUUGUAAAGCUCUUUUACCCGGGAUGAUAAUGACAGUACCGGGAGAAUAAGCUCCGGCUAACUCCGUGCCAGCCGCCGCAGUAA